UACAUGUGGGGCAAGCGUUGUUCGGAAUUACUGGGCGUAAAGGGUGCGUAGGCGGCUUGUUAAGUCAGGGGUGAAAGUUUUCGGCCCAACCGGAAAAUUGCCUUUGAUACUGGCGAGCUGGAGUGCGUGAGGGGUGACCGGAACGAGUGGUGUAGCGGUGAAAUGCGUAGAUAUCACUCGGAAGGCCAACGGCGAAGGCAGGUCACUGGUGCGCAACUGACGCUGAGGCACGAAAGCGUGGGGAGCAAACAGG
This 253-nucleotide ribosomal RNA is filed under the name uncultured bacterium. RNAcentral's name for it is "partial 16S ribosomal RNA". It matches the Rfam family "Bacterial small subunit ribosomal RNA", at positions 524 to 776 of the family's 1533-position model. The record is from RNAcentral.